CUUUAAGAAUCCUGACACUUAAUGGCUUAUGUCAGUAAAAAUAUGUAGUCUAGACUGUUUUUUCCCCCCUUUAAUAUCCCACAUGCAUAUCAGCUCAGGUCUUAAACCACCACCAACCCCCCACUGCUCCCCUCCCCCCACCACCAAAGAAUGUUUCUACUGUAAAUAAGCCAUGGCAUUUUAAAACCAAUAAUCAAUUUUAAAUCACUAAUUAAAAUAAAUUUCAGCAUUACAGGAGAAGAACAUAUUUGAUUUUACAGUGUAGAAGUGCUAUUCCUUACCUUCUCCUUGAAACAAUACACCGUCUCCUCGCCGUCCCAGAUGGUGCGGGGCAGGGGGAAUUUCCUGCGCAGCCGGUACUUGUCUACGGCUCCCAGCGGCCGGCCGCGGGCUCGCUCGGCCUCGGUGUAGCGCGCCUUGUACCAGAGCUGCUGCAGCAGCGGGUGGUUGGCCGACUCGAAGCUGUGGCUCUCGAGGAUGCUGUAGAGCUCGGGGUAGAUGCCCUGGUGGAAGGCCACGAGCGCCCGCGCCUUCAGCAGGCUCUCGUUGCCACGUAGCAGGUCGUCUAGAGCAUCAAGUUCAACAGAUUAUAUAGAAGCAACAGUGGCUUUUUAUGACAUCUGUAGCCUGUAGCUAGCUACAUUGCUAUUCCAUACCUCCAGUAGGACCAGCUGUGAAAUCCACACCAAGAUCCAGGUUCCUUUAGCCAGUUGACACUCAG
RNAcentral lists this long non-coding RNA (721 nucleotides) under Homo sapiens (human). RNAcentral describes it as "long non-coding RNA NONHSAT168526.1". Lineage: Eukaryota; Metazoa; Chordata; Mammalia; Primates; Hominidae. The record is from RNAcentral.